RNAcentral lists this ribosomal RNA (405 nucleotides) under uncultured prokaryote. Its description in RNAcentral is "bacterial SSU rRNA". It matches the Rfam family "Bacterial small subunit ribosomal RNA", at positions 355 to 776 of the family's 1533-position model. The record is from RNAcentral. RNAcentral also lists the same sequence under 1 other name.
UGGGGGAUAUUGCACAAUGGGGGAAACCCUGAUGCAGCGACGCCGCGUGAGGGAAGAAGGUCUUCGGAUUGUAAACCUUUGUCUUAGGGGACGAAGAAUGACGGUACCCUAGGAGGAAGCCACGGCUAACUACGUGCCAGCAGCCGCGGUAAUACGUAGGUGGCAAGCGUUGUCCGGAAUUAUUGGGUGUAAAGGGUGCGUAGGCGGGGAGGCAAGUCGGAUGUGAAAUACCCAGGCUCAACUUGGGGGCUGCAUUCGAAACUGUUUUUCUUGAGUGAAGUAGAGGCAAGCGGAAUUCCUAGUGUAGCGGUGAAAUGCGUAGAUAUUAGGAGGAACACCAGUGGCGAAGGCGGCUUGCUGGGCUUUUACUGACGCUGAAGCACGAAAGCAUGGGGAGCAAACAGG